This 253-nucleotide ribosomal RNA is filed under the name uncultured bacterium. RNAcentral describes it as "partial 16S ribosomal RNA". It matches the Rfam family "Bacterial small subunit ribosomal RNA", at positions 524 to 776 of the family's 1533-position model. The record is from RNAcentral.
UACAGAGGGUGCAAGCGUUAAUCGGAAUUACUGGGCGUAAAGGGAGCGUAGGUGGACGGACAAGUCGGAUGUGAAAUCCCUGGGCUUAACCUAGGAACUGCAUUCGAAACUGUGAGUCUAGAGUAUGGUAGAGGUAAGUGGAAUUUCAGGUGUAGCGGUGAAAUGCGUAGAGAUCGGAAGGAACAUCAGUGGCGAAGGCGACUUACUGGACUGAUACUGACACUGAGGCACGAAAGCGUGGGGAGCAAACAGG